RNAcentral lists this long non-coding RNA (135 nucleotides) under Gopherus agassizii (Agassiz's desert tortoise). Its description in RNAcentral is "lncRNA (ENSGAGG00000014927.1)". Lineage: Eukaryota; Metazoa; Chordata; Testudines; Testudinidae. The record is from RNAcentral.
UUUCCCGCAGGCCAGAGACAGAGUCACGCUAUGAGGAACUCCAAGGACGGACCCAGGAUAUUUACAGCCAGUUGGACUCUCCCCAAGCUGGUUUCCACUGAGCUCUGCUGAAAUCCCAACCAGCUGGGACCCCCG